CGCCUCGGCCUCCCAAAGUGCUGGGAUUACAGGCGUGAACCACCAUGCCCGGCCCAGAAUGUCCUUUCUUUUCAAAGCCGAGUAAUAUUCCAUUAUGAACACAUUUUAUCUUUUGUAGAUCACCUUUCAGAGGAGAAGAAUUUUAAAGAAUCCUGUCUGUUCCACAGGGAUUUAAGAGAGCAGUUAACUACUGUAGAUAAAGAAACACUUCAAGGAGCAGCUAAACCAGAUGCUCACUUUAGGACUAUGCCCUGCGGGCAGCUUCUGCACUUCCUGCAGAAAAACACCAUCAUCGCCACCGUCUCAGGGGUGGCCAUCCUCAUGGCCAUCGUGCUGUUGCUGCUUGGGUUGGCCUCAUACAUCAGGAAGAAACAGCCAUCGUGAGUGGUGCUGGCAUAACCUUCCUUCCAAGAACCCGCGGGUGUUAGAACUCACGCUGCCCUCAGGGCUUCCUGCUGGUCUGGUUUAUGAGGAGGGCAGAAGCUGCAAGCCUGGUUGUGCUUCAGCAUCCCCUGGCCUGCUCUGUCAAAGCACACAGGACCUGGGCCAUGGGUUUUAGGCACAGCCUGGGUGAUUCUGAUGCACACCCGGGUUUGGGGAUCCCUGGGUGGGCCAGGGUUGCCUCUCAAGGCCACUACGGUUAGGCCAGACCUGUCCCCAUAUUGAGGGCUCUGGCUGAAAGAUUG
Molecule: long non-coding RNA, 686 nt
Filed under: Pan troglodytes (chimpanzee)
Lineage: Eukaryota; Metazoa; Chordata; Mammalia; Primates; Hominidae
Description: long non-coding RNA NONPTRT010228
Source: RNAcentral